GACGAACGCUGGCGGCGUGCUUAACACAUGCAAGUCGAACGGAAAGGCCCUGCUUUUGUGGGGUGCUCGAGUGGCGAACGGGUGAGUAACACGUGAGUAACCUGCCCUUGACUUUGGGAUAACUUCAGGAAACUGGGGCUAAUACCGGAUAGGAGCUCCUGCUGCAUGGUGGGGGUUGGAAAGUUUCGGCGGUUGGGGAUGGACUCGCGGCUUAUCAGCUUGUUGGUGGGGUAGUGGCUUACCAAGGCUUUGACGGGUAGCCGGCCUUAGAGGGUGACCGGCCACAUUGGGACUGAGAUACGGCCCAGACUCGUACGGGAGGCAGCAGUGGGGAAUAUUGCACAAUGGGCGGAAGCCUGAUGCAGCAACGCCGCGUGCGGGAUGACGGCCUUCGGGUUGUAAACCGCUUUCGCCUGUGACGAAGCGUGAGUGACGGUAAUGGGUAAAGAAGCACCGGCUAACUACGUG
RNAcentral lists this ribosomal RNA (468 nucleotides) under uncultured bacterium. RNAcentral's name for it is "partial 16S ribosomal RNA". It matches the Rfam family "Bacterial small subunit ribosomal RNA", at positions 28 to 507 of the family's 1533-position model. The record is from RNAcentral.